RNAcentral lists this ribosomal RNA (467 nucleotides) under uncultured bacterium. RNAcentral describes it as "bacterial SSU rRNA". It matches the Rfam family "Bacterial small subunit ribosomal RNA", at positions 338 to 795 of the family's 1533-position model. The record is from RNAcentral.
CCUACGGGGGGCAGCAGUAGGGAAUAUUGCGCAAUGGUCUAACGACUGACGCAGCAACGCCGCGUGGGUGAUGAUAGCUCUACGGAGUGUAAAACCCUGUUAGAGGUGAAGAACAAGCAGGCUUCGAAUAGUAGUCUGCUUUGACGGUAGCCCCAGAGAAAGCACCGGCUACCUCCGUGCCAGCAGCCGCGGUAAUACGGGGGGUGCAAGCGGUGUCCGGAAUAACUGGGCGUAAAGGGUGUGUAGGUGGAACGUUAAGUUAGGCGUGAAAUCCCAUGGCUUAACCAUGGGCUUGCGUCUGAAACUGUCGUUGUUGAGUCACGCAGAGGUAAGUGGAAUUCCUGGUGUAGCGGUGAAAUGCUAAGAUAUCAGGAAGAACACCGGUGGCGAAGGCGGCUUACUGGGCGUUGACUGACACUGAGACACGAAAGCGUGGGUAGCAAACAGGAUUAGAUACCCUGGUAGUC